RNAcentral lists this ribosomal RNA (503 nucleotides) under uncultured bacterium. Its description in RNAcentral is "partial 16S ribosomal RNA". It matches the Rfam family "Bacterial small subunit ribosomal RNA", at positions 30 to 523 of the family's 1533-position model. The record is from RNAcentral.
AUUGAACGCUGGCGGCUGGCUUAACACAUGCAAGUCGAGCGGAGUGAUGGUGCUUGCACUAUCACUUAGCGGCGGACGGGUGAGUAAUGCUUAGGAAUCUGCCUAUUAGUGGGGGACAACAUCUCGAAAGGGAUGCUAAUACCGCAUACGUCCUACGGGAGGAAGCAGGGGAUCACUCGGGACCUUGCGCUAAUAGAUGAGCCUAAGUCGGAUUAGCUAGUUGGUGGGGUAAAGGCCUACCAAGGCGACGAUCUGUAGCGGGUCUGAGAGGAUGAUCGGCCACACUGGGACUGAGACACGGCCCAGACUCCUACGGGAGGCAGCAGUGGGGAAUAUUGGACAAUGGGGGGAACCCUGAUCCAGCCAUGCCGCGUGUGUGAAGAAGGCCUUAUGGUUGUAAAGCACUUUUAGCGAGGAAGAGGCUUACCUAGUUAAUACCUGGGAUACGUGGACGUUACUCGCAGAAUAAGCACCGGCUAACUCUGUGCCAGCCGCCGCAGUAA